RNAcentral lists this ribosomal RNA (424 nucleotides) under uncultured cyanobacterium. Its description in RNAcentral is "bacterial SSU rRNA". It matches the Rfam family "Bacterial small subunit ribosomal RNA", at positions 356 to 795 of the family's 1533-position model. Lineage: Bacteria; Bacillati; Cyanobacteriota. The record is from RNAcentral.
GGGGAAUUUUCCGCAAUGGGCGAAAGCCUGACGGAGCAAUACCGCGUGAGGGAGGAAGGCUCUUGGGUUGUAAACCUCUUUUCUCAGGGAAUAAGAACUGAAGGUACCUGAGGAAUCAGCAUCGGCUAACUCCGUGCCAGCAGCCGCGGUAAUACGGAGGAUGCAAGCGUUAUCCGGAAUGAUUGGGCGUAAAGCGUCCGCAGGUGGUUUAUCAAGUCUGCUGUCAAAGAGUUUGGCUCAACCAAAUAAAGGCAGUGGAAACUGACAGACUGGAGUGCGGUAAGGGCAGAGGGAAUUCCUGGUGUAGCGGUGAAAUGCGUAGGGAUCAGGAAGAACACCGGUGGCGAAAGCGCUCUGCUGGGCCGUAACUGACACUGAGGGACGAAAGCUAGGGGAGCGAAUGGGAUUAGAUACCCCAGUAGUC